RNAcentral lists this ribosomal RNA (514 nucleotides) under uncultured bacterium. RNAcentral's name for it is "partial 16S ribosomal RNA". It matches the Rfam family "Bacterial small subunit ribosomal RNA", at positions 28 to 523 of the family's 1533-position model. The record is from RNAcentral.
GAUGAACGCUGGCGGCGUGCCUAAUACGUGCAAGUCGAGCGAACAGAUGAGAAGCUUGCUUCUCUGCUGUUAGCGGCGGCCGGGUGAGUAACACGUGGGUAACCUACCUGUAAGACCGGGAUAACUCCGGGAAACCGGGGCUAAUACCGGAUAAUCUUUUGAACCGCAUGGUUCACUACUGAAAGACGGUUUCGGCUGUCACUUAAAGAUGGACCCUCGCCGGAUUAGCUAGUGUGUAAGGUAACGGCUUAACAAGGCGACGAUACGUAGCCGACCUGAGAGGGUGAUCGGCCACACUGGAACUGAGACACGGUCCAGACUCCUACGGGAGGCAGCAGUAGGGAAUCUUCCGCAAUGGGCGAAAGCCUGACGGAGCAACGCCGCGUGAGUGAUGAAGGUCUUCGGAUCGUAAAACUCUGUUGUUAGGGAAGAACAAAUUUGUUAGUUACUGAACAAGUCUUGACGGUACCUAACCAGAAAGCCACGGCUAACUACGUGCCAGCAGCCGCAGUAA